GAUGAACGCUGGCGGCGUGCCUAAUACAUGCAAGUCGAGCGAACGGACGAGAAGCUUGCUUUUCUGAUGUUAGCGGCGGACGGGUGAGUAACACGUGGAUAACCUACCUAUAAGACUGGGAUAACUUCGGGAAACCGGAGCUAAUACCGGAUAAUAUUUUGAACCGCAUGGUUCAAAAGUGAAAGACGGUCUUGCUGUCACUUAUAGAUGGAUCCGCGCUGCAUUAGCUAGUUGGUAAGGUAACGGCUUACCAAGGCAACGAUGCAUAGCCGACGUGAGAGGGUGAUCGGCCACACUGGAACUGAGACACGGUCCAGACUCCUAUGGGAGGCAGCAGUAGGGAAUCUUCCGCAAUGGGCGAAAGCCUGACGGAGCAACGCCGCGUGAGUGAUGAAGGUCUUCGGAUCGUAAAACUCUGUUAUUAGGGAAGAACAUAUGUGUAAGUAACUGUGCACAUCUUGACGGUACCUAAUCAGAAAGCCACGGCUAACUACGUG
RNAcentral lists this ribosomal RNA (497 nucleotides) under uncultured bacterium. Its description in RNAcentral is "partial 16S ribosomal RNA". It matches the Rfam family "Bacterial small subunit ribosomal RNA", at positions 28 to 507 of the family's 1533-position model. The record is from RNAcentral.